UGCCCUCGGGUGCCGCUGGUGCAGCAACACAAACUUAAUUACGCAAAGAAGCAUAACUAAGCUUUAACCAAAAUCCAAAUUCUCAACGAUGGAUAUCUUGGUUCCCACAACGAUGAAGAACGCAGCGAAGUGCGAUAAGCAAUGCGAAUUGCAGAACCGUGAGUCAUCAGAUUUUUGAACGCAACUGGCGCUAAUUGGAGUCCCAAUUAGCAUGCUUGUUUCAGUGUCUCUUUUUCUCCUCACCCAAAUCAUAAUGCGAGAGAUACCCUUCUCUUGCUAAGCAUGAAAGCACUCUGCGCUCUGCGAGCGACCUCGGUCGCACUCAAUGCAGCAGUCACAUUGCUCACAAUGUGAACUCAUUGAGAGCGGAGGCAGUGCGGCGAAAGCUGCCAGUGCUUAGACACACAAACUUUAC
Molecule: unclassified non-coding RNA, 415 nt
Filed under: Kahliella sp. Y7-1128-3
Lineage: Eukaryota; Ciliophora; Spirotrichea; Stichotrichida; Kahliellidae
Description: partial contains ITS1, 5.8S rRNA and ITS2
Rfam family: 5.8S ribosomal RNA (bases 78-229)
Source: RNAcentral